AGUCUUAUAGUCUAAUAAAGAUUUUAAAUUGCAAAUUUAAAGAUAAAUUUAAGUUUUAUGACUU
Molecule: transfer RNA, 64 nt
Filed under: Cucujoidea sp. 20 KM-2017
Lineage: Eukaryota; Metazoa; Arthropoda; Insecta; Coleoptera
Description: tRNA-Cys
Source: RNAcentral